RNAcentral lists this ribosomal RNA (482 nucleotides) under Lactococcus lactis subsp. lactis. Its description in RNAcentral is "bacterial SSU rRNA". It matches the Rfam family "Bacterial small subunit ribosomal RNA", at positions 15 to 479 of the family's 1533-position model. The record is from RNAcentral. Lineage: Bacteria; Bacillati; Bacillota; Bacilli; Lactobacillales; Streptococcaceae.
GAACCUGUCUCAGGACGAACGCUGGCGGCGUGCCUAAUACAUGCAAGUUGAGCGCUGAAGGUUGGUACUUGUACCGACUGGAUGAGCAGCGAACGGGUGAGUAACGCGUGGGGAAUCUGCCUUUGAGCGGGGGACAACAUUUGGAAACGAAUGCUAAUACCGCAUAAAAACUUUAAACACAAGUUUUAAGUUUGAAAGAUGCAAUUGCAUCACUCAAAGAUGAUCCCGCGUUGUAUUAGCUAGUUGGUGAGGUAAAGGCUCACCAAGGCGAUGAUACAUAGCCGACCUGAGAGGGUGAUCGGCCACAUUGGGACUGAGACACGGCCCAAACUCCUACGGGAGGCAGCAGUAGGGAAUCUUCGGCAAUGGACGAAAGUCUGACCGAGCAACGCCGCGUGAGUGAAGAAGGUUUUCGGAUCGUAAAACUCUGUUGGUAGAGAAGAACGUUGGUGAGAGUGGAAAGCUCAUCAAGUGACGGUAAC